RNAcentral lists this ribosomal RNA (496 nucleotides) under uncultured bacterium. RNAcentral describes it as "partial 16S ribosomal RNA". It matches the Rfam family "Bacterial small subunit ribosomal RNA", at positions 29 to 507 of the family's 1533-position model. The record is from RNAcentral.
AUGCACGCUGGCGGCGUGCCUAAUCCCUGCCAGUCGAGCGAACGGACGAGAAGCUUGCUUCUCUGAUGUUAGCGGCGGACGGGUGAGUAACACGUGGAUAACCUACCUAUAAGACUGGGAUAACUUCGGGAAACCGGAGCUAAUACCGGAUGAUAUUUUGAACCGCAUGGUUCAAAAGUGAAAGACGGUCUUGCUGUCACUUAUAGAUGGAUCCGCGCUGCAUUAGCUAGUUGGUAAGGUAACGGCUUACCAAGGCAACGAUGCAUAGCCGACCUGAGAGGGUGAUCGGCCACACUGGAACUGAGACACGGUCCAGACUCCUACGGGAGGCAGCAGUAGGGAAUCUUCCGCAAUGGGCGAAAGCCUGACGGAGCAACGCCGCGUGAGUGAUGAAGGUCUUCGGAUCGUAAAACUCUGUUAUUAGGGAAGAACAUAUGUGUAAGUAACUGUGCACAUCUUGACGGUACCUAAUCAGAAAGCCACGGCUAACUACGUG